Molecule: long non-coding RNA, 1434 nt
Organism: Engraulis encrasicolus (European anchovy)
Lineage: Eukaryota; Metazoa; Chordata; Actinopteri; Clupeiformes; Engraulidae
Exons: 3
Source: RefSeq, a predicted model, not a curated record
UAUUGGGGCAUACGGAUCCUGGGAGGAGAAGAAGAAGAAGUGCAUGUUGUUGCUGCUAGCUACGUACUCACUCUGCCUGCGGUGGAUUGUUUUAUUCCGUGUCAAUUUAAAACUACUUCAGUAAAUGUAUUAACUUUACACCGAGCCUCUUCAUUGCCUACUGCAAAACAACUUUUUGCACCAGUUCGUCACUGAUGGCUUAUCAACGCGGCGGCAUCCUCAUCAUGGCACAGGUUCAUCAGAGUCAGGUGGUCAGCACCCAAACUAAAACCAUGGGUCAUGGUGAAGAAGGAUGAGAGACUGUUCUAUGUGCCCAGGGUUCGUCAGGAUGGUGUCUAAGAAUUACAUCCUAGCAGCACAGAACAGGAAGCCAUCGUGAAGAAGUUGCCGGAGAGGCUUCGCUUGGCCUUUGCCAGCGCCUCACUAUCAGUGAUGCUGGUCUCCUUAUCCACCGUGCCUACCCCCACAUUCCUCCCUUGAUGCAUUCAUCUCCUGACCUGUACCUGUUGUGGGCUGAGUCAGUGAUGACACACAGUAGUUGUGAUAAUAACAUACAUGUAUAUGAAAUAACUGAAAUGAUGUCCGUCCAGGCAUUUCCUUUGGUAUUUUAUUGUACACAACUCAGAACAUGUUCCCUGUCUGUCUAUAUUGAGUCUAGCCUAAAACUAAUUACUUUAGUUCUAUUGUCUCCAGCAUAUGUACGUAAUCUACGUAUCCAGUUACAUGGGUAUUUUGGUGCCUGGAUUAGACUGCAUGUAAGUAAUAAUAUGAACUCAGGUCAGGAUACCACAGUAGUUCAGAUAACCAUUCAUUAAUAUAAAAUGCACAUGUUUUGUAUAGGCCUAUGUCCAUCCCAGGAUAGACAUCCCCUCGUAUCACCUUUGUAACUAAAAUACAUUUGUACUUUGUGUCUAAAAAUAAAGUCUAUGAACAACUGAAUGAUCUGAUUAAUACAUUGAAAUGGUGUGGUGCAGACGCUGAAAUGGGGAAGUUAAUUGGAUAAACUUGGCUUGGUGUGCUGGACCUCUGUCUCUUCCAUACAUCCAAUCUCAGCCAUCAGAUCAUUGCUCUUCUCACCUGGAGAAAUAGAAAGACAUACUUAAAUGACAAUUUUUAUCCCAAACAAGUUUUUCACCGAGAAUUGGUUACUGUCCCUGUAGCAUUGUGGGGCUAAGUGUCUUGCUCAAGGGCACUUCAGCCAUGGUGGAGAUGAGGAGAGAGGUAAGGAUGGGUUUCGCACCUGCCCCAAUAUCAAGACCACCUCCCUAACCAUUAGGCCACUGGUGUCUCAUUUUGGAAGGCAGACAAUUUUGUGAAAACAUUAAGUGUUACACUUAACAUUAAUUACAAGGACAACAUGAAGGCUGGGUAGGCAUGUGCGUGUUAUGGACAAUUUGACUGCCAUUUCAUGACAACAUCCUAUGAAAAGUAAGA